This 279-nucleotide long non-coding RNA is filed under the name Cucumis sativus (cucumber). Its description in RNAcentral is "long non-coding RNA (CSAT_LNC002667)". Lineage: Eukaryota; Viridiplantae; Streptophyta; Magnoliopsida; Cucurbitales; Cucurbitaceae. The record is from RNAcentral.
UGAUCAUCAUCAUCACCUUCGCCAGACUCUGCCCCUACUUCCUCGUAAUCCUUCUCGAGUGCCGCAAGAUCUUCCCGGGCUUCAGAGAAUUCUCCCUCCUCCAUCCCCUCCCCCACAUACCAAUGCACAAAGGCUCUCUUUGCAUACAUCAAAUCAAACUUGUGGUCUAUGCGAGAGAACACUUCUGCCACGCUUGUCGAGUUCGAGAUCAUACACACUGCCCUCUGCACUUUGGCGAGGUCGCCACCCGGAACAACCGUAGGCGGCUGGUAGUUGAUC